GGUUGUGGCUCAAGUGGUAGAGCACUUGCCUAGCACACUCGAGGCACUGGGUUUGAUUCUCAGCACCA
RNAcentral lists this transfer RNA (68 nucleotides) under Marmota monax (woodchuck). RNAcentral's name for it is "tRNA.Ala". Lineage: Eukaryota; Metazoa; Chordata; Mammalia; Rodentia; Sciuridae. The record is from RNAcentral.